GCAGUGGCAUGUCAAUCAGGAUUGCUGUAUCUGCUUGAACAUCUGUCAGGUUACACUGUCUGAAGAGAAAACCACUGAGGAAUAUAAUACAAGAUCAAAGCUCUGCUCCAGAAAACCGGGUUGGUUGGAGGUUAAGGUUUCCUGAAUUUAGCCCGCCCCUCACUGGUAGGUUCUAAGAACAGAAGUUCGUCAGCUUCAG
This 199-nucleotide long non-coding RNA is filed under the name Lathyrus oleraceus (garden pea). RNAcentral's name for it is "Pisum sativum (pea) long non-coding RNA (PSAT_LNC002735)". The record is from RNAcentral. Lineage: Eukaryota; Viridiplantae; Streptophyta; Magnoliopsida; Fabales; Fabaceae.